CGGGAUGUAGCGCAGUUCGGUAGCGCACUUCGUUCGGGACGAAGGGGUCGCUGGUUCGAAUCCAGUCAUCCCGACCA
RNAcentral lists this transfer RNA (77 nucleotides) under Flavobacteriales bacterium. RNAcentral's name for it is "tRNA-Pro". It matches the Rfam family "tRNA". From Rfam's summary of the family: Transfer RNA (tRNA) molecules are approximately 80 nucleotides in length. Their secondary structure includes four short double-helical elements and three loops (D, anti-codon, and T loops). Lineage: Bacteria; Pseudomonadati; Bacteroidota; Flavobacteriia; Flavobacteriales. RNAcentral also lists the same sequence under 1 other name. The record is from RNAcentral.